UACGUAGGGGGCGAGCGUUGUCCGGAUUUAUUGGGCGUAAAGAGCUCGUAGGCGGUUCGGCGAGUCGACUGUGAAAUCUCCACGCUCAACGUGGAGGGGUCAGUCGAUACUGCCGUGACUCGAGUCCGGUAGGGGAGUGUGGAAUUCCCGGUGUAGCGGUGAAAUGCGCAGAGAUUGGGAAGAACACCAGUGGCGAAGGCGGCUAUCUGGACGGUUUCUGACGCUAAGACGCGAAAGCGUGGGGAGCAAACAGG
RNAcentral lists this ribosomal RNA (254 nucleotides) under uncultured bacterium. RNAcentral's name for it is "partial 16S ribosomal RNA". It matches the Rfam family "Bacterial small subunit ribosomal RNA", at positions 524 to 776 of the family's 1533-position model. The record is from RNAcentral.